This 820-nucleotide long non-coding RNA is filed under the name Monodelphis domestica (gray short-tailed opossum). RNAcentral's name for it is "lncRNA (ENSMODG00000039705.1)". Lineage: Eukaryota; Metazoa; Chordata; Mammalia; Didelphimorphia; Didelphidae. The record is from RNAcentral.
CUCAAAUUGCAUACUAAUUCUUUUGCUCUUUCAUAAUUAAUUCUCUCCCAUUUCCCACAGAGACUGUUUUAUACCUUCUUUUCUCUUCUUAGGCCUCAUAUAUACAACCAUCUCCCUCCUCCCUUUCAACCCAAGACCUGGCCUCAUACUUCACUGAAAAAAAAUGGGAUGCAUCUUCCUCUUCAGUCUCACAAUUCAGAUCACCUUAGUAUCAUCCCCCAAAUAUCUGCUUGUCCCCAUUAUGAAGAAAUUAAGUUGAUUUAUAUUCAGAACUUGGAGCUUGGACCUGCCAUAAUCACAGAAUUGGAAGGGACCUCAAAGGCCAUCUAGUUCAAUUUAGAAGCCUCUACAAUCAUAACCAACAGUUGGUCAUCCAGAUUUUAUUUGAAGCUCUCUCAUAAGAGGAAACCCUCAUGACUCUUCCAAGCAGUCCAUUCGAAUUCUGGACAACUCUAUUGAAGAAUUUCCCUUAUACCAACCUUAAAUUGGUCUCUUUGCAACCUCUACUAAUUGCUCUCUGUUGCUCUCUGGGGUUACUCUGAAGAAGCCUAAUCCUUCUCAUAUAUUAUAGCUUUUUAAAUACUUACAGAUUACCUCCUGAAAGAGAUUCCAAAAUGAAAACUUCCCAGGAAUAUUUUAGCCAAAUUCCAGAGCUACGAGAUCAAGGAGGAAAAUAUUGCAAACAACCAGGAAAAAAAUUCAAAUAUCAUGGAGUCGUCACACAGGAUUUAGCAUCUUUCACAUUAAAGUAUUAAAGGGCUUCUAGUAUGCAAAGGAGCUAGAAUUACAACCAAGAAUAAACUACAAAGCAAACCAAACA